UAAAACCCCAUAACUUGAGUAUUAGGGCUCCAAAUUGGUUGAUUCAAAAGGCAAAAUUGUGAGGUUUUUCGUGGAGAACGCAUUGGAGAGAUUGAAAACUGAUUUGGAGCAUUCGAUUCAGGGUCUAAAUUCAAGAGAAUUUCGUGAGGAAUCUCGUAGUAAUCUCAUAAACGCGAGAAGAAGCUUUGUUCGAGCUUGGCAGCGUUUCGAGGCUGUUUGAAAGGGAAAAUCUCCAGCACAGUGAUUUGGAGCCCGCGUGUUUGGCCUACAGGACCAAGCACCAGCUAUCGCCGUGGAUAAAUUGAGCCUGUUGCAGUCAACUUCGGAGACUAGGGUGAGUACUUGGCGUUUUUAGAUCAUUCCUGUCUCCUUCAGCAUGGAUGGCCCGUCUUUUACCUUCUGAGACUAGCCAGUUGUUUUAUAUCUUUUCGGUCCACUUUCGGGACUUGUACUCGUAUUUUAUUUUGUAGCAGCUCUGUACUUGUGACUUCCAGGUUCUAGGAGGGAUCUUUAGUUGUUUAAAACAUGUUUUGGUUUACUUCUACUUA
This is a long non-coding RNA of Solanum dulcamara, 548 nucleotides long. RefSeq lists it as uncharacterized. The record is from RefSeq and is a predicted model, not a curated record. The transcript has 4 exons. NCBI's taxonomy places the organism in Eukaryota, Viridiplantae, Streptophyta, Magnoliopsida, Solanales, Solanaceae.